CCUACGGGCGGCAGCAGUGGGGAAUAUUGGACAAUGGGCGAAAGCCUGAUCCAGCCAUGCCGCGUGUGUGAAGAAGGCCUUCGGGUUGUAAAGCACUUUCAGUGGGGAAGAAAGCCUUGGGGCUAAUACCCUCGAGGAAGGACAUCACCCACAGAAGAAGCACCGGCUAACUCCGUGCCAGCAGCCGCGGUAAUACGGAGGGUGCGAGCGUUAAUCGGAAUUACUGGGCGUAAAGCGCGCGUAGGCGGUCUGAUAAGCCGGUUGUGAAAGCCCCGGGCUCAACCUGGGAACGGCAUCCGGAACUGUCAGGCUAGAGUGCAGGAGAGGAAGGUAGAAUUCCCGGUGUAGCGGUGAAAUGCGUAGAGAUCGGGAGGAAUACCAGUGGAGAAGGCGGCCUUCUGGACUGACACUGACGCUGAGGUGCGAAAGCGUGGGUAGCAAACAGGAUUAGAUACCCUAGUAGUC
RNAcentral lists this ribosomal RNA (465 nucleotides) under Vreelandella stevensii. RNAcentral describes it as "partial 16S ribosomal RNA". It matches the Rfam family "Bacterial small subunit ribosomal RNA", at positions 338 to 795 of the family's 1533-position model. Lineage: Bacteria; Pseudomonadati; Pseudomonadota; Gammaproteobacteria; Oceanospirillales; Halomonadaceae. The record is from RNAcentral.